This 253-nucleotide ribosomal RNA is filed under the name uncultured bacterium. Its description in RNAcentral is "partial 16S ribosomal RNA". It matches the Rfam family "Bacterial small subunit ribosomal RNA", at positions 524 to 776 of the family's 1533-position model. The record is from RNAcentral.
CACGUAGGGCGCGAGCGUUGUCCGGAUUUAUUGGGCGUAAAGAGCGUGUAGGCGGCCAAGCAGGUCCGCUGUGAAAACUCGAGGCUCAACCUCGAGACGUCGGUGGAAACCGUUUGGCUAGAGUCCGGAAGAGGAGAGUGGAAUUCCCGGUGUAGCGGUGAAAUGCGCAGAUAUCGGGAAGAACACCCGUGGCGAAGGCGGCUCUCUGGGACGGUACUGACGCUGAGACGCGAAAGCGUGGGGAGCGAACAGG